AUUACUUCUUGGCCUUUUGGCUAAGAUCAAGUGUAUUAUCUGUUCUUAUCAGUUUAAAUUAAUUUUUAUUUAAAUUAAAAACAAUCUUAUUUUCCAUACCAAUCAAAGUCCCUUCUCCCUCCAGGAUUUCCUGUCCCCCCACCAAACACCAUUCCAUCCCCUGCCCACUCCACAGAGAAGGUGAGGCCUCCU
Phodopus roborovskii (desert hamster) is the source of this 192-nucleotide small nuclear RNA. RefSeq annotates it as U2 spliceosomal RNA. The transcript has a single exon. NCBI's taxonomy places the organism in Eukaryota, Metazoa, Chordata, Mammalia, Rodentia, Cricetidae. The record is from RefSeq and is a predicted model, not a curated record.